RNAcentral lists this ribosomal RNA (492 nucleotides) under uncultured bacterium. RNAcentral describes it as "partial 16S ribosomal RNA". It matches the Rfam family "Bacterial small subunit ribosomal RNA", at positions 29 to 507 of the family's 1533-position model. The record is from RNAcentral.
AGUGAACGCUGGCGGUAGGCCUAACACAUGCGAGUCGAACGGCAGCACAGUAAGAGCUUGCUCUUACGGGUGGCGAGUGGCGGACGGGUGAGGAAUACAUCGGAAUCUACUUUUUCGUGGGGGAUAACGUAGGGAAACUUACGCUAAUACCGCAUACGACCUACGGGUGAAAGCAGGGGAUCUUCGGACCUUGCGCGAUUGAAUGAGCCGAUGUCGGAUUAGCUAGUUGGCGGGGUAAAGGCCCACCAAGGCGACGAUCCGUAGCUGGUCUGAGAGGAUGAUCAGCCACACUGGAACUGAGACACGGUCCAGACUCCUACGGGAGGCAGCAGUGGGGAAUAUUGGACAAUGGGCGCAAGCCUGAUCCAGCCAUGCCGCGUGGGUGAAGAAGGUCUUCGGGUUGUAAAGCCCUUUUGUUGGGAAAGAAAAGCAGCAGGUUAAUACCCCGCUGUUCUGACGGUACCCAAAGAAUAAGCACCGGCUAACUUCGUG